This 484-nucleotide ribosomal RNA is filed under the name uncultured bacterium. RNAcentral's name for it is "partial 16S ribosomal RNA". It matches the Rfam family "Bacterial small subunit ribosomal RNA", at positions 30 to 507 of the family's 1533-position model. The record is from RNAcentral.
AUUGAGCGCUGGCGGCAGGCCUAACACAUGCAAGUCGAGCGGAUGAAGGGAGCUUGCUCCUGGAUUCAGCGGCGGACGGGUGAGUAAUGCCUAGGAAUCUGCCUGGUAGUGUGGGAUAACGUCCGGAAACGGGCGCUAAUACCGCAUACGUCCUGAGGGAGAAAGUGGGGGAUCUUCGGACCUCACGCUAUCAGAUGAGCCUAGGUCGGAUUAGCUAGUUGGUGGGGUAAAGGCCUACCAAGGCGACGAUCCGUAACUGGUCUGAGAGGAUGAUCAGUCACACUGGAACUGAGACACGGUCCAGACUCCUACGGGAGGCAGCAGUGGGGAAUAUUGGACAAUGGGCGAAAGCCUGAUCCAGCCAUGCCGCGUGUGUGAAGAAGGUCUUCGGAUUGUAAAGCACUUUAAGUUGGGAGGAAGGGCAGUAAGUUAAUACCUUGCUGUUUUGACGUUACCAACAGAAUAAGCACCGGCUAACUUCGUG